AGCGAACGCUGGCGGCAGGCUUAACACAUGCAAGUCGAGCGGGCAUCUUCGGAUGUCAGCGGCAGACGGGUGAGUAACACGUGGGAACGUACCCUUCGGUUCGGAACAACUCUGGGAAACUGGAGCUAAUACCGGAUACGCCCUUAUGGGGAAAGGUUUACUGCCGAAGGAUCGGCCCGCGUCUGAUUAGCUAGUUGGUGGGGUAACGGCCUACCAAGGCGACGAUCAGUAGCUGGUCUGAGAGGAUGAUCAGCCACACUGGGACUGACACACGGCCCAGACUCCUACGGGAGGCAGCAGUGGGGAAUAUUGGACAAUGGGCGCAAGCCUGAUCCAGCCAUGCCGCGUGAGUGAUGAAGGCCUUAGGGUUGUAAAGCUCUUUUGUCCGGGACGAUAAUGACGGUACCGGAAGAAUAAGCCCCGGCUAACUUCGUG
RNAcentral lists this ribosomal RNA (435 nucleotides) under uncultured bacterium. RNAcentral's name for it is "partial 16S ribosomal RNA". It matches the Rfam family "Bacterial small subunit ribosomal RNA", at positions 29 to 507 of the family's 1533-position model. The record is from RNAcentral.